RNAcentral lists this ribosomal RNA (495 nucleotides) under uncultured bacterium. RNAcentral describes it as "partial 16S ribosomal RNA". It matches the Rfam family "Bacterial small subunit ribosomal RNA", at positions 28 to 523 of the family's 1533-position model. The record is from RNAcentral.
GAUGAACGCUGGCGGCGUGCUUAACACAUGCAAGUCGAGCGAAGCACUUAAGUCUGAUUCUUCGGACGAAGACUUUUGUGACUGAGCGGCGGACGGGUGAGUAACGCGUGGGUAACCUGCCUCAUACAGGGGGAUAACAGUUAGAAAUGACUGCUAAUACCGCAUAAGACCACGGUACCGCAUGGUACAGUGGUAAAAACUCCGGUGGUAUGAGAUGGACCCGCGUCUGGUUAGGUAGUUGGUAGGGUAACGGCCUACCAAGCCGACGAUCGGUAGCCGGCCUGAGAGGGUGACCGGCCACAUUGGGACUGAGACACGGCCCAGACUCCUACGGGAGGCAGCAGUGGGGAAUAUUGCACAAUGGAGGAAACUCUGAUGCAGCGACGCCGCGUGAAGGAUGAAGUAUUUCGGUAUGUAAACUUCUAUCAGCAGGGAAGAAAAUGACGGUACCUGACUAAGAAGCCCCGGCUAACUACGUGCCAGCCGCCGCCGUAA